This 253-nucleotide ribosomal RNA is filed under the name uncultured bacterium. Its description in RNAcentral is "partial 16S ribosomal RNA". It matches the Rfam family "Bacterial small subunit ribosomal RNA", at positions 524 to 776 of the family's 1533-position model. RNAcentral also lists the same sequence under 1 other name. The record is from RNAcentral.
UACGUAGGGUGCGAGCGUUAAUCGGAAUUACUGGGCGUAAAGCGUGCGCAGGCGGUUGUGUAAGUCAGAUGUGAAAUCCCCGGGCUCAACCUGGGAACUGCAUUUGAGACUGCACGGCUAGAGUGUAGCAGAGGGGGGUAGAAUUCCACGUGUAGCAGUGAAAUGCGUAGAGAUGUGGAGGAAUACCGAUGGCGAAGGCAGCCCCCUGGGUUACUACUGACGCUCAUGCACGAAAGCGUGGGGAGCAAACAGG